AACGAACGCUGGCGGCAUGCCUAACACAUGCAAGUCGAACGAUCCCUUCGGGGAUAGUGGCGCACGGGUGCGUAACGCGUGGGAACCUGCCCUUAGGUUCGGAAUAACUCAGAGAAAUUUGAGCUAAUACCGGAUAAUGUCUUCGGACCAAAGAUUUAUCGCCUUUGGAUGGGCCCGCGUUGAAUUAGCUGGUUGGUGGGGUAAAGGCCUACCAAGGCGACGAUCCAUAGCUGGUCUGAGAGGAUGAUCAGCCACACUGGGACUGAGACACGGCCCAGACUCCUACGGGAGGCAGCAGUGGGGAAUAUUGGACAAUGGGCGAAAGCCUGAUCCAGCAAUGCCGCGUGAGUGAUGAAGGCCUUAGGGUUGUAAAGCUCUUUUACCCGGGAUGAUAAUGACAGUACCGGGAGAAUAAGCCCCGGCUAACUCCGUG
RNAcentral lists this ribosomal RNA (433 nucleotides) under uncultured bacterium. RNAcentral's name for it is "partial 16S ribosomal RNA". It matches the Rfam family "Bacterial small subunit ribosomal RNA", at positions 29 to 507 of the family's 1533-position model. The record is from RNAcentral.